RNAcentral lists this ribosomal RNA (432 nucleotides) under uncultured bacterium. Its description in RNAcentral is "partial 16S ribosomal RNA". It matches the Rfam family "Bacterial small subunit ribosomal RNA", at positions 29 to 506 of the family's 1533-position model. The record is from RNAcentral.
AACGAACGCUGGCGGCAUGCCUAACACAUGCAAGUCGAACGAGACCUCCGGGUCUAGUGGCGCAUGGGUGCGUAACGCGUGGGAAGCUGCCCUUAGGUUCGGAAUAACUCCCUGAAAGGGGUGCUAAUACCGGAUAAUGUCUUCGGACCAAAGAUUUAUCGCCUUGGGAUGGGCCGGCGUUGCCAUAGCGAUGUGGAAGGGUAAAAGCCUACCUAGGCGACGAUCCAUAGCUGGGUUGAGGGGACGAUCAGCCACCCUGGGACAGGGACACGUCCCAGACUCUUGCGGAUGGCAGCAGGGGUGAACAAGGGACACUGGGCGAGAGCAGGAGGCAGCAGUGCCGUGAGAGUGAUGAAGUCGUUAGGAUUGUAAGGCUCUUUUACCCGGGAUGUUAUGAAGGGACCCGGAGGAAUAGCCUCCGGCUACCUCCGG